UACAGAGGUCCCGAGCGUUGUUCGGAUUCACUGGGCGUAAAGGGUGCGUAGGUGGUUAGGUAAGUCCGAUGUGAAAUCUCCAGGCUCAACCUGGAAAUGGCAUUGGAUACUAUUUAGCUUGAGGAGUGGAGGGGGGACUGGAAUUCUCGGUGUAGCAGUGAAAUGCGUAGAUAUCGGGAGGAACACCUGAGGCGAAGGCGGGCUACUGGGCCGAUACUGACGCUGAGGCGCGAAAGCCAGGGGAGCAAACGGG
RNAcentral lists this ribosomal RNA (253 nucleotides) under uncultured bacterium. Its description in RNAcentral is "partial 16S ribosomal RNA". It matches the Rfam family "Bacterial small subunit ribosomal RNA", at positions 524 to 776 of the family's 1533-position model. The record is from RNAcentral.